Molecule: ribosomal RNA, 944 nt
Filed under: uncultured bacterium
Lineage: Bacteria
Description: bacterial SSU rRNA
Rfam family: Bacterial small subunit ribosomal RNA
Source: RNAcentral
CCUUAGAGUUUGAUCCUGGCUCAGGACGAACGCUGGCGGCGUGCCUAAUACAUGCAAGUAGAACGCUGAAGAGAGGAGCUUGCUCUUCUUGGAUGAGUUGCGAACGGGUGAGUAACGCGUAGGUAACCUGCCUGGUAGCGGGGGAUAACUAUUGGAAACGAUAGCUAAUACCGCAUAAAAUUGAUUAUCGCAUGAUAAUCAAUUGAAAGGUGCAAAUGCAUCACUACCAGAUGGACCUGCGUUGUAUUAGCUAGUUGGUGGGGUAACGGCUCACCAAGGCGACGAUACAUAGCCGACCUGAGAGGGUGAUCGGCCACACUGGGACUGAGACACGGCCCAGACUCCUACGGGAGGCAGCAGUAGGGAAUCUUCGGCAAUGGACGGAAGUCUGACCGAGCAACGCCGCGUGAGUGAAGAAGGUUUUCGGAUCGUAAAGCUCUGUUGUAAGAGAAGAACGAGUGUGAGAGUGGAAAGUUCACACUGUGACGGUAUCUUACCAGAAAGGGACGGCUAACUACGUGCCAGCAGCCGCGGUAAUACGUAGGUCCCGAGCGUUGUCCGGAUUUAUUGGGCGUAAAGCGAGCGCAGGCGGUUAGAUAAGUCUGAAGUUAAAGGCUGUGGCUUAACCAUAGUACGCUUUGGAAACUGUUUAACUUGAGUGCAAGAGGGGAGAGUGGAAUUCCAUGUGUAGCGGUGAAAUGCGUAGAUAUAUGGAGGAACACCGGUGGCGAAAGCGGCUCUCUGGCUUGUAACUGACGCUGAGGCUCGAAAGCGUGGGGAGCAAACAGGAUUAGAUACCCUGGUAGUCCACGCCGUAAACGAUGAGUGCUAGGUGUUAGACCCUUUCCGGGGUUUAGUGCCGCAGCUAACGCAUUAAGCACUCCGCCUGGGGAGUACGACCGCAAGGUUGAAACUCAAAGGAAUUGACGAAGGGCGAAUUCCAG